GAGCUGUCACACAGACCUAGGUUUUCUGCCUCUGAUUUGUCAGAGGGGUGUGGAGACGUUUCUUCUUUCUUUUGGAGGAUUCUUCUGUGACCUUUUCCACCCCCGCCCAAUUCAUAGGCUGAACAUCUCACUGAAAGAAAGAAAAGCUUAGUUUUUAGGGAAACUGACAGAGAAGUUGGGAGAUCCAAACACUUGGCUUUCUCAAGGCAAGCACUGCAGAGGCUGUGCAGGUCGAGUCCAGAGAAGUUCCACAAAGAAUCUACACUACUCAACCAGGCACAUGCAGACAGCUCAUCGGUCCAAGGAUGGAAAAAUGAAGACGACAUGACUCUGGAAUUUGGAGAGGUGUCAGAGUAAAAAGCUGAGCAGAAGCUCACUAUGCAUGGACAGUGUCCAGAGGACCCCAUCAGAAGUUGAAGGCCUGGAGCUUACUGCAGAGUCUUCUGUGAGUCUGUCAGGAAACCAAGUGCCUGCACUGGGAGGCUGGAGACUCUGAGCUAGGAGCCUGGAGACAGACGUCCAGAGGCAUUGGUAAAGAUGGGAGCUCUUCCAAAGAAGCAAAAAGUCUCUGCUGGCCAUGUGAGAUGACUGACAACAGCCUUGAAGUCACAGCUCCCUAGGAAGUCCCCUCGGAGGUGCUAUGAGUGGAGCAGCGCUUCGCCACCAUGCUCUUCCAUUGUACUGUUUCUGCCUUGGAGCCAGCUGACCAUGGACUGAAACCUCUGAAACCAUGAGCCAAAACAAACCUCUCCUUUUUAAAGUUGCAGGUGUCAGCAGGACCGAAAGGGAUUCCCAAGUGACUGAAAAUCCUCUUCAGAGAAAGACGAAAGAGCGUCCUAAACGUACAAGGACCAGGGCUUUACCCAUAGUCACACCAAAGGAAUGCUGAAAGAAGCUCUGGAGGUUUACAUACUUUGCAAUUCCCCAUGUUUCUACAGUAUAAAGAGAAACUGUGUUUGUACACUCUUGCACCAAGUUUAGCAGAAAACUUUUCUUUGGGGCUCUUCUAUGGGGUUGAAGUUCUCCAUGUAUGAACAAUACCUAUGCAUAUCAGGUCUGCUCAUUCUACACGCUGCAUGGACUUAGGGGAGUAUCUUUAUAUGUGGAUCUGUAAAUACACCGC
RNAcentral lists this long non-coding RNA (1123 nucleotides) under Heterocephalus glaber (naked mole-rat). RNAcentral's name for it is "lncRNA (ENSHGLG00000043860.1)". The record is from RNAcentral. Lineage: Eukaryota; Metazoa; Chordata; Mammalia; Rodentia; Bathyergidae.